RNAcentral lists this ribosomal RNA (460 nucleotides) under uncultured bacterium. RNAcentral describes it as "partial 16S ribosomal RNA". It matches the Rfam family "Bacterial small subunit ribosomal RNA", at positions 338 to 795 of the family's 1533-position model. The record is from RNAcentral.
CCUACGGUAGGCAGCAGUGAGGAAUAUUGGUCAAUGGACGAGAGUCUGAACCAGCCAAGUAGCGUGAAGGAUGACUGCCCGAUGGGUUGUAAACUUCUUUUAUAAAGGAAUAAACCGAGGCACGUGUGCAUUUUUGCAUGUACUUUAUGAAUAAGGAUCGGCUAACUCCGUGCCAGCAGCCGCGGUAAUACGGAGGAUCCGAGCGUUAUCCGGAUUUAUUGGGUUUAAAGGGAGCGUAGAUGGGUUGUUAAGUCAGUUGUGAAAGUUUGCGGCUCAACCGUAAAAUUGCAAUUGAUACUGGCAGUCUUGAGUACAGUUGAGGUAGGCGGAAUUCGUGGUGUAGCGGUGAAAUGCUUAGAUAUCACGAAGAACCCCGAUUGCGAAGGCAGCUUACUAAACUGUGACUGACAUUGAUGCUCGAAAGUGUGGGUAUCAAACAGGAUUAGAUACCCCAGUAGUC